Zingiber officinale is the source of this 948-nucleotide long non-coding RNA. RefSeq lists it as uncharacterized. The transcript is spliced from 6 exons. NCBI's taxonomy places the organism in Eukaryota, Viridiplantae, Streptophyta, Magnoliopsida, Zingiberales, Zingiberaceae. The record is from RefSeq and is a predicted model, not a curated record.
UCCCUUCGACGCCGCCGCUGCCCGCUGCAAACAUCAACGAGUGGAUCUGUGGACGGGCUAGCUGCAAACAUCAAUGAGUGGAUCUAUGGAAGGGCUAGCUGCAAACAUCAACAAGUGGAUUUGUGGAAGGAGAUAGCCCUGCUUCGAGCCUUUGACGUCGCCGCUGUAAACAUCAACGAGUGGAAAGAGGUUGAAGGCGACGAGUCGACCAUAGAAAGUUGAGAGUAGAAUCACAUUGAGGACUCGAGGUCAUGUGAUCGUGCUUCUAGUGGUCGAGAACUCCAGAUCUAAAGAGUGGAGAUCAUCCGCAAGCUUCUUUUUCUGCUUCAACGUUCUUCAUCAAGGAAAAUCUGAGACAAGUUGCUCGUGUGAACAUGCUUCUAGUCUAGUGGUCGGUAACUUGGGAUCUAAAGAGUGGAGACCACACAUGAUCUUCUUUCUCUACCUCAAGCCCUCAACAUUCUAAUUAGAGGAAAUCUGAAAACUCCUGCAACAGUAGAAAUGCUGAUGUGUGGUGGAGAUUGGUGUCGAAAACGACAUGGAGUGACUAAAAAGACUAAGGUUGAAAAACAACUUUUGACAAUUGAUUUGCCCAUAGAUUAAAUGAAUCAUUUUAGGUUGAAAUUUGAAAAAUCAGUCAUGCCACUAAGAUUGAAGAGGUGGAAGUAUCAAACUUUUUAUUUUAUGAAGCUUUUGUAUAUCUUGCUGGAUUGAAAUUGUUGGUAGCUGAACUGGGAAGGGAUAGAAGUACGAACUGUCAGUGUUGAAGAUGGUAGAUUGAACUUUGAAGCAAGGGUAGCAGCCAGCAUGAACUUUUUUAUUUUCUUUAGUUUUGUAUGUUUUUUAAACUGGGAAUGUAAGGGCAGACCGGUAGAAUGAAGAUGCAGAAUGCAGAUUGAAGCUGGGAUAGAUUGGCUGUAUAACUUAUUAUCAUCCCUUUUUGUUUGU